CGACUGGACUUGGGUAUUUGAAGGAAAGAUACAAGUUCGCGAAGAAGUCUUCGAAUUGGCAAGCGAUCUGUAGUUGUGGCUGGAGAACGUCCACAUAAGGGAAAUAAAAAGUGUAUUGCCGUUUAUCCGCAACUUAAAACUCUGGACUAACUCAGACAAAUAAAUCCAUCUAUUCUGAAAUAAUCUCACCCAAUUCCGCACGGUUCCACUUAAACAUUCUUAAUCCCUGUUAAUCUUUUGAAAACCUUUCUAAUUCUGCAUACGAGGGAUUGUAAGUCCCUCGAAAUCCCUCAUAAAUCUCAAAUCUUCCUUAACUUACUUACACCCACUAAAUACUGUGUGAGUUCGGACAAGGUUGUCUGCAAGUAUAGGAGCGUGAUUUGGUCUGCUGCCACCAGAUUUCGUUCGAGCUGAAGAAAUGUACUAUGUUACUGUGGGCUGAAAGUAGUAAGACUUUUGAAUUAUUAUUCGUCGAAAUAUUUUUUCCUAGGAUGGUAUGACUGUCAGUGACAUCUCUGUAUGAAGUGUCACGUCAAAAUAUUCAUUAGUGUUCAGUAAACGUCUGUCUUUUUGAAGUUUUAAAAGUGCAAUCGGCGAUUUUUACAAUGAAUGAACAAAGAAGUUCCAUUAAACUUUAUGUGCGGAAUCAAAUGCAUGGUGCCGAAACGUUCAGAAUUUUGCAAAAGGCCUUCGGUGAUAAUUGUAUGUCGCAAGCAAGUGUUUUUGAUUGGUACAAGUUAUUCAAAGUAGGUCGAGAACACGUCACAUCAAAGCAAGUCAAAAAUCACAGUCAACAGUUUUCUUUGAUUAUCGAAGUUUGUUGCACUCCGAAUUCCAUCCUUCCAACCAAACUGUCAACAAGGAAUAGUAUUAGAGUGUUAAGGAGUAUAUUGAAAAUAAGCUAUCCACAAUUUUUUCUUUUAAUUAUGAUAAAAACGAUAUUCUAUUCAACCUGAAAAUUGAUCCUUUUUUGUACGAAAUUAAACUUGAGCAUUAUGAAAACCGGAUGAAAUUUAAGUUAUUCCAUCACGAAUUUGCGAACUUUUAAUCGAACGCUCUUCAUCAAGUUCCGGAUAAGUGUUACAUCGCUUUUUUUGGACGGUUGAGCCCAAAUUUUUGUGAACUCCUCCAUGUUCCCAGCUGCCUUAAAAGUCUUCCUGAAGACCCUCUUAACGAUUGCUCAGUAAAGUUCGAUGGGUCAAACCUGAGGGCAAUUUGGUGGAUUGAUAUUUUUCUCAACGUAAUUUAUACCCUUUUCCGCAAGCCAAUUGAGAGUGGUUUUGGCAUAGUGAGCCGACGCUAAAUCCGGCCAAAACAGUGGAGGUGUACUAAGUUUCUUAUAUAAAGGCAGCAAUCUCUUCUGGAGACACUCAGAUCGAUAAAUUUCUGCAUUUAUAGUUCCGGUAGUGUAAAAAAUGGUUGACUUCAAACCACAGGAACAUAUUGCUUGCCAUACCAGUACCUUUCGACCGAAUUUCUCCACACAUCUAAUACAGCUGUUGCGAAACAUUUCAAAAUCGUAAAUCGUCAGAGAAAAAAAAAACGAUUUGGCAGGCGAUUUGCGAAUGAACAACAACACCUUCCGAAAGUGCACAGUAAAACCCCGGAAGGUAAUGCCAGCGGAAUAACAAAUCACAAGCACUUACAUUCAUUCAUCAAUCAAUCCAGCCGUGGGCAGUGGUAUCAGUGGUCCCGGUGGUUUUACGACGGCGGUUAUAUUAUUGGAACCACGCGCCACCCUAAAAAUAACCUGGUUCAAGUCACCGCCAAAAGUACUUGAUAAUUGUACGUCGUCCUACCCUUCGCCGUAAGUGUCUAUUAUAGUCCCGGUACCCCCGGAGUGCGAUGAAGCCGACACCAAAAACAAAAAAAAACUCUCCGCCAUCGCAACGGUACAGUGACAUGCGGACAGUCGUCCCCCUUCCCUCUCGGGGACGGGGAUGAUGAAAAGCUAAGCUUCUGGAAGCUAAAAAAUAGACUGUUCUAAAGGCGAAAUGGGAUUAUGGAUUGGCUGCUUGACAUGGCUGGUUGGUUGGGUUGGGUGGCACGAGCGUACAUGUCGUGAGCCGUACCACGGACCUUUACCGAUCGCGCUUCCCCCCCUCCCCGGCUCUGCGGGCCAUCAAACCCCGCGAGUACGAAUGGAUGUCAGUCAGCCUGCCUUACGCUUCAAUGGUUACAAUUUCUCACACAGGAUCCGGUUGUUGUUUUUUUUUUCUUCUGUGUUCUCCCCGGCCGCGCUUGGUCUAUAGACAUAGAGGCCGCCACUGUCUGCUUUUGUUUAUCGUCACAUGAGAAGGUUCCACCGGGAAGGAAUAAGCCGAGAAUAAGCUCAAAAGCAAGUGACAUACGAGACAGCAACAAUGGCCCCUGCUUUUAAACGCGCUCGACCGUGUGUGUGUGUGGGAAUAUGUGCUGCAUCGGAAGGAAGAAGGCACAGUUGAAAAUCUACGGAAAAACCAUAGGAACUGACACUAACUGAAUAAAUGAUACGAAUGUAGUAAUGGAAUUUAUUCUCAGUACGCGAAGCUUACCGUUAUUUCUGUUUUUUUAUCCUUCUUUUGCUGCAGAAGCAGGCUUUGACGAUAAUGGAGCUCGGCGAAGGUGACAUAAUCGUGAUAUUUUGUGACGGCAAAAUUGGAUGAUUUUAAAGUGCCCAUUUCUAGGAAACCGGUACUCCCAGUUUGAAGGCCCCCAGUUAUUCAGCGGUUGACCCCGGAGCUCCGAUGGAUGCCAGCUUCGUUUGGCAGCAGUUUUGCGACGGAAUACGGGUAGGAACGAAGAAAGGGGCUUUCAGUACUUACCCCAAUUUGUGUUCCGGCGAUGGUGCCUCCCAACAAAUGAGCGAGACGAUGCGAGUAAUGGGCACUUUGACACUAUGAACUUGCAUCAUCUAGGCGCAAGGUCGCGAUUUGCAUUUUGAAACUUUUCGCUGUGCUGCUGCUGCUGCCGAUGCUGUUGUUGUUUUUGUUGCUGUUUGUGACGAUUGGAGCCGGCAGGGCUGCGAGAAUCUUAAUCUGAUAACAUUAGCAUAUUAGGGUGUUUUUAUUUUUUUUCUGGUGAAUUGAAAAUAAACUGUCGUCGGUACUUUGCAUCUUUUUUCUUUGCGAUGUUUUAAGUUCGAUAAUUGCGAAUAGUAAGCGAAGUUCUUCAGACCAUAUAAAGCAGAACGGUACGAAUACC
Molecule: long non-coding RNA, 3183 nt
Organism: Malaya genurostris
Lineage: Eukaryota; Metazoa; Arthropoda; Insecta; Diptera; Culicidae
Exons: 3
Source: RefSeq, a predicted model, not a curated record